Molecule: ribosomal RNA, 392 nt
Filed under: uncultured eukaryote
Lineage: Eukaryota
Description: SSU rRNA
Rfam family: Eukaryotic small subunit ribosomal RNA
Source: RNAcentral
AGCUCCAAUAGCGUAUAUUAAAGUUGUUGCGGUUAAAAAGCUCGUAGUUGGAUUUCUGUUGAGGACGGCCGGUCCGCACUAUGUGCGUGUAUCUGGUUCGGCCUCGGCAUCCUCUUGAGGAACGUUUCUGCGCUUGAUUGCGUGGAGCGGUAUUCAAGACUUUUACUUGAGGAAAUUAGAGUGUUCACGGCAGGCAAGCGCCUUGAAUACAUUAGCAUGGAAUAAUAAUAUAGGACCUCGGUUCUAUUUUGUUGGUUUGCACGCCGAAGUAAUGAUUAAUAGGAGCAGUUGGGGAUGUCCGUAUUCGAUUGUCAGAGGUGAAAUUCUUGGAUUUAUUGAAGACGAACUACUGCGAAAGCAUUCAUCAAGGAUGUUUUCAUUAAUCAAGAACG